This 888-nucleotide ribosomal RNA is filed under the name Paragyromitra ambigua. Its description in RNAcentral is "eukaryotic LSU rRNA". It matches the Rfam family "Eukaryotic large subunit ribosomal RNA", at positions 77 to 978 of the family's 3401-position model. Lineage: Eukaryota; Fungi; Ascomycota; Pezizomycetes; Pezizales; Discinaceae. The record is from RNAcentral.
GCCUCAGUAACGGCGAGUGAAGCGGCAACAGCUCAAAUUUUAAAGCUGGCGUCUUCGACGCCCGCGUUGUAAUUUGGAGAGGCAUCUUCGGUUUGGGCGCCAGCCUAUGUUCCUUGGAACAGGACGUCACAGAGGGUGAGAAUCCCGUGCUUGGCUGGCUGUCCCUUGCCAUGUGAAGUGCCUUCGACGAGUCGAGUUGUUUGGGAAUGCAGCUCAAAAUGGGUGGUAAAUUCCAUCUAAAGCUAAAUAUUGGCGGGAGACCGAUAGCGCACAAGUAGAGUGAUCGAAAGAUGAAAAGCACUUUGAAAAUAGAGUUAAAAAGUACGUGAAAUUGUUGAAAGGGAAGCGCUUGAGACCAGACUCGGCCGGAGAUGAUCAGCCGUCCUUCUGGGCGGUGCACUUGUCUCCGGUCGGGCCAGCAUCGGUUGAGACGGCGGGAUAAAGGCCCGGGGAAUGUGGCUCCUUUCGGGGAGUGUUAUAGCCCCGGACGCAAUGCCGCCAGCCUCGACCGAGGACCGCGCUUUUUGCUAGGAUGCUGGCGUAAUGGUCUUCAGCGACCCGUCUUGAAACACGGACCAAGGAGUCUAACAUCUAUGCGAGUGUUUGGGUGUCAAACCCUUGCGCGUAAUGAAAGUGAACGGAGGUGGGAACCCCCUCGCGGGGCGCACCAUCGACCGGUCCUGAUGUCUUCGGAUGGAUCUGAGUAGGAGCAUAGCUGUUGGGACCCGAAAGAUGGUGAACUAUGCCUGAAUAGGGUGAAGCCAGAGGAAACUCUGGUGGAGGCUCGCAGCGGUUCUGACGUGCAAAUCGAUCGUCAAAUUUGGGUAUAGGGGCGAAAGACUAAUCGAACCAUCUAGUAGCUGGUUCCUGCCGAAGUUYCCCUCAGGA